RNAcentral lists this ribosomal RNA (258 nucleotides) under uncultured bacterium. Its description in RNAcentral is "partial 16S ribosomal RNA". It matches the Rfam family "Bacterial small subunit ribosomal RNA", at positions 1234 to 1500 of the family's 1533-position model. The record is from RNAcentral.
CAGGUACAGCGGGAAGCCACCUGGCGACAGGGAGCGGAACCCGAAAGCCUGUCUCAGUUCGGAUCGGAGUCUGCAACCCGACUCCGUGAAGCUGGAUUCGCUAGUAAUCGCGCAUCAGCCAUGGCGCGGUGAAUACGUUCCCGGGCCUUGUACACACCGCCCGUCAAGCCAUGGGAGCCGGGGGUGCUUGAAGUGCGUCGCCGCAAGGCGCGCCCUAGAGCAAAACCGGUGACUGGGGCUAAGUCGUAACAAGGUAAC